This 164-nucleotide ribosomal RNA is filed under the name Phyllostachys edulis (moso bamboo). RNAcentral describes it as "5.8S ribosomal RNA". It matches the Rfam family "5.8S ribosomal RNA". From Rfam's summary of the family: 5.8S ribosomal RNA (5.8S rRNA) is a component of the large subunit of the eukaryotic ribosome. It is transcribed by RNA polymerase I as part of the 45S precursor that also contains 18S and 28S rRNA. Functionally, it is thought that 5.8S rRNA may be involved in ribosome translocation. Lineage: Eukaryota; Viridiplantae; Streptophyta; Magnoliopsida; Poales; Poaceae. The record is from RNAcentral. RNAcentral also lists the same sequence under 13 other names.
CACACGACUCUCGGCAACGGAUAUCUCGGCUCUCGCAUCGAUGAAGAACGUAGCGAAAUGCGAUACCUGGUGUGAAUUGCAGAAUCCCGCGAACCAUCGAGUCUUUGAACGCAAGUUGCGCCCGAGGCCCUCGGGCCGAGGGCACGCCUGCCUGGGCGUCACGC